CCUACGGGUGGCAGCAGUGGGGAAUAUUGGACAAUGGGCGCAAGCCUGAUCCAGCCAUGCCGCGUGAGUGACGAAGGUCUUCGGAUUGUAAAGCUCUUUUGGCGGGGACGAUAAUGACGGUACCCGCAGAAUAAGCCCCGGCUAACUUCGUGCCAGCAGCCGCGGUAAUACGAAGGGGGCUAGCGUUGUUCGGAAUCACUGGGCGUAAAGCGCACGUAGGCGGACUUUCAAGUCAGGGGUGAAAUCCCGGGGCUCAACCUCGGAACUGCCUUUGAUACUGUUGGUCUCGAGUCCGGAAGAGGUGGGUGGAAUUCCGAGUGUAGAGGUGAAAUUCGUAGAUAUUAGGAAGAACACCGGUGGCGAAGGCGGCCCACUGGUCCGGUACUGACGCUGAGGUGCGAAAGCGUGGGGAGCAAACAGGAUUAGAUACCCGAGUAGUC
This 440-nucleotide ribosomal RNA is filed under the name uncultured Hyphomicrobiaceae bacterium. RNAcentral describes it as "bacterial SSU rRNA". It matches the Rfam family "Bacterial small subunit ribosomal RNA", at positions 338 to 795 of the family's 1533-position model. The record is from RNAcentral. Lineage: Bacteria; Pseudomonadati; Pseudomonadota; Alphaproteobacteria; Hyphomicrobiales; Hyphomicrobiaceae.